RNAcentral lists this ribosomal RNA (599 nucleotides) under Schwanniomyces polymorphus. Its description in RNAcentral is "eukaryotic LSU rRNA". It matches the Rfam family "Eukaryotic large subunit ribosomal RNA", at positions 52 to 666 of the family's 3401-position model. Lineage: Eukaryota; Fungi; Ascomycota; Pichiomycetes; Serinales; Debaryomycetaceae. The record is from RNAcentral.
GGAGGAAAAGAAACCAACAGGGAUUGCCUCAGUAACGGCGAGUGAAGCGGCAAAAGCUCAAAUUUGAAAUCUGGCACCUUCGGUGUCCGAGUUGUAAUUUGAAGAAGGUAACUUUGGAGUUGGCUCUUGUCUAUGUUCCUUGGAACUAGGACGUCACAGAGGGUGAGAAUCCCGUGCGAUGAGAUGCCCAAUUCUAUGUAAAGUGCUUUCGAAGAGUCGAGUUGUUUGGGAAUGCAGCUCUAAGUGGGUGGUAAAUUCCAUCUAAAGCUAAAUAUUGGCGAGAGACCGAUAGCGAACAAGUACAGUGAUGGAAAGAUGAAAAGAACUUUGAAAAGAGAGUGAAAAAGUACGUGAAAUUGUUGAAAGGGAAGGGCUUGAGAUCAGACUUGGUAUUUUGCAAGCCUUACCUUCGUGGUGGGGUCCCCUGCAAUUUACUGGGCCAGCAUCGGUUUGGAUGGUAGGAUAAUGACUUGGGAAUGUGACUUUGCUUCGGUAAAGUGUUAUAGCCCUUGUUGAUACUGCCUGUCUAGACCGAGGACUGCGUCUUUGACUAGGAUGCUGGCAUAAUGAUCUUAAGUCGCCCGUCUUGAAACACGGAC